Molecule: long non-coding RNA, 601 nt
Organism: Apis cerana (Asiatic honeybee)
Lineage: Eukaryota; Metazoa; Arthropoda; Insecta; Hymenoptera; Apidae
Source: RefSeq, a predicted model, not a curated record
UCAUCCAAUAUGCCUGUCUGACACUGCACACUGUCAGAAUACACAGGCAGCCUUAAAAUGUUAUGCAGAAGCAUGACUUUACAGCUAUUCUAUUCUAUCAUUUUUAAAUGUAAGUAAUGAAACGGAACAAGAAAUUUGAUUGGAUUAGAUAUAGGAAUACUUUUGGUCCUUCGGUAAAACAUAUAUCUGAAAAUAUAAUGGCAAUAAAAUACUAAGCUUGGAUUAAAUGUCCAUCAGGUUAAAAUAUUCAUUUUUCUUUUUUCAUUAGAAAAUUAAAACAAACAGAAUCAAACAUUGUUAUUUUUGUUAUUCUUCUAUGAUUAUAAUCUUUAUAAUUUAAUAUUUAAUUACAAACAUAUUAAUUAUUUCCAAUAGAUAUUCUGUGAAUUUAUAUUUAUGUACAUUUUUAUGCUUUUUAUGUUUCAUUUGUGCAUUUUCCAAAUAAGAUACAAGAAGAAGAAUUUAGUUGUGAAUAUUAAUUUAGAUGAAAAUGAUUUAAGUAUAUCAAAAGAACAUUAAUAUCAAUGUAUCAUGUAACAAGAUGAACGAGAUAAAAUAAAUCAAAUGAAUUUUAAUUAAUAAAUAAUGAAGAAAAACUUUU